UGGCUUAUUGGAUUCUAAUUCAGGACACUACAACAGAAUUAGAUUAUAGAGACACAUGUUUGGAACACUUUUGUGUAAGUGUCUCAUUUAUGCCAACAUUUUUUAAAAAAUCUAUUAAUGCCUAAAUAUAAAGCCCAAUCAACCAAAAAUAAAAGGUUACUCUACUCAACCCACCCUACCCAGCCCAUUUGGCCCGAUUACAAACAGAAAAGAAAAAAAAUAAAGAAAAAUCGAUUACCAUCUCUCUUUCUCUCCUUACUCAAUCCACUGAAAUCCUAGAUGAAGAGCCCUUCCCUCUCGUCCUCUUCCGCACCGCAGCCAACGAGGUAAAGUUCCAUGUUUGGAACACUUUUGUGUAAGUUUCUCAUUUAUGCCAAAAUUUUUUAAAAAAUCUACUAAUACCGAAAUAUAAAGCCCAAUCAAUCAAAAAUAAAAGAUUACUCUACUCCACCCACCCUACCCAGCCCAUUUGGCUCGAUUACAAACAGAAAAGAAAAAAAUAAAGAAAAAUUGAUUACCAUCUCUCUUUCUCUCCUUACUCAAUCCACUAAAAUCCUAGAUGAAGAGCCCUUCCCUCUCGUCCUCUUCCGCACCGCAGCCAACGAGAUAAAGUUCCGACGGCUGCUAAAUGCUUAAAUAAGUGUUGGUAAUUAGUAGCACUUUUUUUAGGCUACAGCGACACUUUUUAACUGUCACUAUAUACCUAGCGACCCCACAUAUAGCAACAUUUUUUAAAAGUAUUGGUAAUUUAGCCAGCAGCAUUUUUUUUGACAUGUACCAAUAUUUAAAAGUGUCGCUAUAUACCGUUUUUGUUGUAGUGAGAUUAUCGCGUACUUUAAUUGCCGCAUUAGCGCCUAUUUGACUUACUCUUUAUAUAAGCAACAUGUCUUAAUUUGGUAAAUUGAUGAUUUUACCGUUUGAGAAGGUAAAAGUAGAAGCUGAAAUGAUAUUCUAAAGAUAAAAAUAGAAGCUUUAUUUUGAAACUUACUAAGUAAACAAUAUUAAUAAAAAUUAAAAUUUUAUUUCUAAAAACUUUAUAUACUCUAAAAUAUAUUUAACUGUGUCGAUCAUAAAUUUAAAUACUCUAAAAUCGAAAUGAGAUUAUAGUACCGGAGUUCAGGUACUAUAGAUAGUACAAUAGACUCGAUCUCUAUAUAUGUAUAUAUAUUAGUAUAUAUGUGAAUAAGUCAACUCAAAAUAAUAUUUUAUUAAACUUAUUCAUGCAUCGACAAUAAAUUAAACAUGAAAUGGGUUUCAUUUAUAACUUUCACAAAAAAAAAGUGUAUUAUUCCUCUAAAUUUAUUGUAAAAUUAAAAUACAUAAGAUAAAUUAUAAUAAAAAGCAGUUAUUAUCCAUAAAUUCUUGGGUUUACUCCAAAAUAAAAUGAAAAAAAAAAUGCUAUUUGUACAUCCAACUACUCACAUCAUGCGAAAAUAUGUGUAUACAGUAUUGGAGAUGAUGCUACCUCACAACAACUCCAAUCAUUGACCUUUCACACUAAUUAAAGCACAAACCCUAACACACCCUCUCACCCAAUUCUCUGUAAGAUCCACUUUUUCACACAGCUCUCUCUUGUUUCCUAUGGCUUCUCUAUAUUCCCUGAUAUGCUACCACCACCUCUUGCUCUUUCUCAUCGCCGCCGCCGUUGCGGCGGCGUUUACUACGCAUGCCGUCGCCGACGAUAUGACCCAUCUGCACUUCUACAUGCACGACAUCCGCAGCGGGCCCAACGCAACUGCGGUCGAGGUCGUCACAGGCCCCGUCCCCGUACCUUCCGUCCCCGGCGUCAACUUCGGUGACUUCGUCGCGAUCGACGAUCCCCUCACGGAGGGCCCAGCACUCUCGUCGAGGCUCGUCGGCCGGGCCCAGGGGUUCUACUUGUCCGCAGCACUGCAAGAGGUGUCGUUUCUCGUGUCGGCCAACUUCGUGCUGGCCGCCGACGGGCCGUAUAACGGCAGCGCGGUCUCCGUUCUGGGGAGCGACCCGAUCGCGGCGCCUGUCAGGGAGUUGUCGGUCGUCGGCGGGAGCAGGCGGUUUCGAAUGGCCUACGGAUAUGUGCUCUGGAAGACGUACUUCUUCAACGCCACCACCCUCGACGCGAUCCUGGAGCUCGACGUCUACGUCACGACGAAGUGAUGAAUUCGUCACAUCGAUCUCAUCUCGCUCGUUGAGCCCUAUUAUUGCAAUCUGAUAGUAAAGAUAGAAUCGAUGGCGGAUCGAUCACUCAGAUGAUACAAGAUUGGUUUGACUGUCCAUGUCAAAUGCCAAUUAUUUGUUCAAUCAUUAUGUCAAAAAAAUAAAAAGGCAUGGUUAUAGAUAAGCUUGUCUGUUUGUUUUUUCUUGAGUGUCUUUGUUAGAAAGCAAUAGUUAAAAACUUUUUUAAAAAAAUAAAAAUAAAAUUUGGUACUUUUUUAAAAAUAAAAGUAGAGAGAAAUGCUUUUUCCCUUUUUUUAAUUUUAAAAAGAAUAAAGGAAAUGCUUUGGUACCCACCAAGAGUUCUCUACAUGUGAGUAUCAAUUAUUGUGUUGGUUUAUGGUAUUUUCUUUUAUGUUCAUGACUUAAUAAUUAAUAAUGUUUUUUUAUAUUAUGAAAUAUUUUUUUAACAUAAAGAUAAAAUUAUUAAAAUUAGGCUAAUUUGCAUUAAAAGUUAUUAGUUUUGCACUUUAUAAAAUUAAACUAUUGUGAAAUGAAUGACACAUUAUAAAAAUAAUUUUAGCUUAUAAAGGAUAUUUGUUGUUUAGAUAAUUAAUGCUAAUUUAAAAGUGCAUAUUAUCGCUUCUCCACAUAUUAAGUAUACUUCAAAACUUUUAAUUUUUCAAAUUAAAAAUAAUAUGUAUGAUUUUUCGACUUCACCAAUAUCUUUUAUAACUUAUCAAUUCGAGUUAGCCGACGAUGAUUUGAACAUUUUAAAUAAAAUAAUAUGAAAGAUUUUUAAAAUAUUAUAUGACACGCCGUGAAAUGAAUGACUAAUUAUUAAAAUAGUUUCUGAUUAUAUCGAAUAUUGUUUAAAUAGUAAUUUUAAUUUCGAAUGUAAAAAUGCAUUAAAAUACUUUUCAAAUAAAUUUAAAAGAAGUUGGAUAUGUGUUUAAAUAAGUAAUUAGUAUUCUUUUUAAAUGUAAAUGUAAAACAUUUUUUUAAAAUAAAUUUAAAAAAUGAUAAUAAGUUGGAGAUGCGGGGUAUCGAACCCCGUACCUCUCGCAUGCAAAGCGAGCGCUCUACCGUUUGAGCUACAUCCCCAUUUUGUAAAUUUAACAAAAUUUUUGUUUAAUGAAAUUAAAAUACAAUUUACUGCACACAACUCCCUCUAAACCUAUUGAAUUACAGAAAUAUCCCUACAAAGUUCGAUUUUUCCUAAUUAUCCUUACAAAAGUUUUAGCGUUUUCAAAUAUACACCUGUUGUUAGGAUCCGUCAGAAAAAUAUAAUUAACCAUAGGUAAAAUAUUUAACCCUGGUUAGUGAAUGAGGUAAAUGGACCUUUUUACGCCACUUAUAUUAUUUGUGAUGAUAGAAAGAAAGAAGAUGACCAUUAAAAAUUUUUGAUAAGAUAUUUUUGCAUAAUUUUAACAGUUAAAGUUUUUGGAGAUAUAUUUGUGAUGGCGAAAAUGUCAUUUUAUUUAUCUUCUGUUAAAAAAUAAACAAUGUUCUAAUGGUAAUAAACAAAAGGGGCGAGUAUGAAUAUUGUUGAAUUUUUCUAGGAAAAAAUAUGAAAAAUGAAACUUUGCAGGGAUAUACUUACUAUUCGAUAUGUUUACAGGGAACUGUGUAAGUGGCAAUCUGAACCCGUACCUACGGGUUACAGGUGUGGCAAUCUCAACCCGUACCUACGGGUACCUAUGGGGUUACUCUUAAAUUUGUGGGUAUGGGUACUAAUUUUUCUUACCCAAAAAAUUUUGGAUAAAAUGAGUAGAUUCUAAUUAAAUUAUGAGCAUUUUUUUUUGGCAACCCGAUAGUGAAUACUCUUUUUAUUUUAUCCGUUCUUAGAAUUCUAAUAUAAUUUCUCCUACCGUUAUUUUUUUUUAUUUAUUAUCUGUUGUGUAUUGCGAUAUUUUAAACAAUAAGUUAAAUUUUAAUCUUUUAAAAAUAAUGUAUAUGUUAAGUGUUUGAAAAGUUUAAAUUUAGAAAAAGAAAAAAAAAGGGAAAACUUCAAAAACCCUCCUGUGGUUUCGUGCAUUCUCACUUUGCUACCCUGUGGUUUAAAACGUAUCAAUUUACCCCCCUGUGGUUUCAUUUUUAUCUUUUCGGAAGCUUUUUCGUUAAUAUUUCGUUAAAUUAUAUACAAAAAACUUCAGAUAACCAUCUAUAUUUAUCGAAUAGUCACUUUAGUAUCCUUUAAUUUUAACUUUGUCACUGAUUUUAAAAAAAAAUAAUAAUAAAAUUGAUAACAAAAAGAUAAAAACGAAACCACAGGGGGGCAAAUUGAUACGUUUUAAACCACAGGGUAGCAAAGUGAGAAUGCACGAAACCACAGGGAGGGUUUUUGAAGUUUUCCCAAAAAAAAAAAGAUUAAGUUGCUGGUAACCCGUAUAUCCGCCAAAAGCCGACCCUAGGAAUGUCAAUGGGUACGGAUACCCAAAAUUUUAUCCGAACCAGAACCCGAACGGAGCGAAUUUACCUAAUGCAAAAUGGAUAUAGUUUCGGAUAUGGAUAUCAAAAACAAAAACCAAACGGAUAUGGAUAUAGAUAUAGAUUUUGAUUGUACCCGACCCGAACCCGAACCUGACUCGAACUUGAUCCAAACCCAAAUUUAUUUUACAUUAUAUAUAAUAUGUAUAUAAAAAUUCGAUAUUAUAUUUGAAUUUGUAUUUUAAAAAUUUAAAUUUAAUAUAAUAUAUUUGAAAUAUUGAAAAGAGAAAUAAUUGUUUUGGGUUCGGAUUUUCGGGUUCGGGUUCGGGUUCGGGUUCGGGUUUCGGGUUUUUGGCCGGGUUCGGAUUUGGAUAUGGAUUUUUAAAAUCCGUCGAGUUCGGGUUCGGGUUUUGGGUUUAGAGUCGGGUUUUUGAAAAUCCGCCCCGAAUCUGACCCGUUGACAUCCCUAGCUGACCCGGGAGCAGGAAUAGAUAAUAAUGAUGGCUACCAAAAAAUUUAUGAGUAAAUUCUACCAACAUUCACAUAAUCCGAGGGUACAAUGACCUUUCUGCGGAUUGUUUAAUUUGUCCGUUUGCCAGGUCUACUUACAAAUGAUCGGAAAUAGUUAAUAUCUCUACUCACGUGCAUACCGUAGGGGCGGUGAAAUUGGAUCCGAGCCUAAACGAGGUCCGACCCAAUGGGCUAUGUAUGAGCCGGACUUUAUGUAUUUGAAAAUUUUAAUUUUGGGUUCGGGCUAGACUUUAAAAAUUUAGAUCCAAAAAUGUUUUGGAGUUAUUUGAACAUGUGAAACAACCGUUGUACUCUAAAAACUUAAGCUAUUAGAGAACAGUGUUUAAACAUUUUCAUAUUUAACACUUCCCCUCACGUCUGGGCUCGAGACUUUUUAAUCGGCCCAUGACGUGGGCUUGAAUUAAAUGGGAGGAAAUUAAUAUGCUAGGAGCCUGACGUGACUCGAACUCAGGACCUCCUGCUCUGAUACCAUAUGAAACAACCGUUGUACUCUAAAAGCUUAAGCUAUUAGAGAACAGUGUUUAAACAUUUUUAUAUUUAACAGAACAUGUUCAAGCCCAACCGAGACUCAGCCCAAGAGCCUGAUAUAUUAGUUAUUAUUUCGGACUAACAAGAUAUUUAGUUAUAGACAUUUACCUAUAUAAUGAAUUAAGGAGACAAUACAAUAUAUCAUACAGAGUUGUGCUGGAAUACUAUUAAUAGUAUUUGAGCCUUUUACGACUAAGUUUAUAAUCCUUAGAUGAAAAAUUAUAUAAUUAAGAUAAUUAAGAUGAUAGUGGUCUCCUGAGAUUUAAUGGUGGCUUUCCUAGGGUUUAGUUGGCGGUUGGUAAAAUAGCAUGAUCUAAGUAAUGAAUUGAUUAUGGGUAGAUCUAAUGGUGGAAAGCUGGAUAGCAUCAAGCGCUUGACAUUAUUAAUAGUAUUCCAGCCGGACUCAUAUUAUAUAUAGUAUUAUUUUAAAGCUUUUGAUUAAUUAGACUUUUCUUGUUCCUUGGAGUAAACUAAUUUUUUUUAUGGGAUCAAAUUCUAGAUAGUUUUAUUUCACUUUGAUAUAAUAUAUGGCCUAAACAAAGCCAAAUGGAUAUUGGGCUAGGUUUGGUUCCGGUUUUAAUUCUCUGAAAAACCUGAGGAGGAAUUAGGUAUCUCAAUUUUUCUUCUAUUUAAGUUUUUCUCUAAUUUCUCUUCUUUCUCUCAUCUUAACCACCCCUGCAUCAAAAUUGAUGAAUAAUUAGGAAGCCAAGAACAUAAGGACUGCAAUGCUGCUAAUAGCACAGUAGCCUUACUAUACAUAUAUUAUAUAGAGUUGAGCUGGAAUACUAUCGGUAGCAAAUCGGCUCCGUUGCCACCCAUUUGUUUUCGAUGAUGGAGCCUUCGAAUCGACGAUCGGCACCGUUGAAUAUGAUCUAUACUACUUAAAUUAUCUAGAAAUUAAAUUUCAUGCUUUUCCAAUAUUAUUCUCUUAUCCAUCAAGUGGCGUAAAAAUGAACGACUGAAAAUGAAUAUCUUCUAAAAAGUGAUGAUAGAAAUUUUAUAAUCAAGAUCGAGAGUAUAGAUCUUGUUCUAGAUAGUUUAAAGAAUUUUCUGAUCAAAAUUCAAUUGAUUUGGAUAGCUUUAUACCGUUAAACGUGAAAACACCUCAUAUCUACCAUUAAAAUUACAAAUUUUGAAACCCUUUGAUCAUUAGGUUAAUGAUAUAGAAAAGAUUUGAAAUUUGGUUUCUAAAUACUUCAAGUGGUACAGAUCAUGUUCAACGGUACCGAUCGUCAAUUCGAAUGCUCGCUCCAUCAUCGAAAAGAAAUGGGUGGCAACAGAGCCAGUUUGCUAUCGAUAGUAUUCCAGCUCAACUCAUAUUAUAUAUAUAUAUGAAGUAUUUUAAUGAAAUAUUAGAGGUAAGGUAUAUUUGUAUUUAACACAUAUGUCAAUGACAUUUAUUCAAACACAAACAAAUAAAGCACAACAAAUUCAUACAAAGUAAUGUGUCAUCUUAAUCAUUUGUUAGCGGUGACAUACACGUCCAAUUCUAAGAUAGAAUCUCCAGUGGUGGCGUUGAAGGAGUAGGUCUUGAUGAGCACGUAGCCGUGCGCGAACCGAAACUUGCGGCUGCCGCCGACCACCGACAGCUCCUUCUCCGGCUGAUCGUCAGCGUAGCUGCCGUACACGGCGAUGGUGCUCCCGUUGUGCGGCCCGUUUGCCGCGAAACCAAGGUUCGCCGACACGAGCACUCCAGAACCCUGCGUGUACGAAUGUACAUAUGUUCACAUACGAUGAUACGGAGGAUAACUUAUUCGGCAUAAAAAGUUUUUAGUGUGAAAAGUUUGACUUGAUCUGUUCCUUAAAAAGUCUAAAUAUUCAUAAUUUCGUAGGAUAACAUAUUUUACCUGCGAAAUAAUUUUUCUUAUUUCAAAAAAAUUAUUUGAAGAUAAAAUAUCAUAUCAAAUUCUAAACUCUUCACACUAAAAAUUAUUUGAUCACUGAUCAGCCCCGUUUGGAUGCAUGAAUAUAUUAUUUGUAAAUUUCUUGAUUUAUAUACUGAAGAAAUUUGCAUAUUUUAUUAAUACAAAGUGUGACUAAUCGUUUAGAAUGAAAUAUUAUAUUUAGACUUUAAUUAAGUUAAGUUUUCAUAAUAAGAUAAAUCACAUCGUCAGUGAAGUAUACUAUUCUAUCAAAUCAUGAAUAAAAUAAUUUAAAAAAAUAAAAAAAAUCAAACUAUUUACUUACAAUCAUACUAGAUAAUCCACAUACAGAAUAAGUUGCCAUUGGAUAACUUAUUAUGAUACCGAAAUAGAGCCUUAAUACUCAAAUUUACAAGUUUUUAAAUAAAUUAAAAAGAUAUAUAGAGUAAGAUAUUCUUAUAUCCAAAUAAAGCAUAUAUAAGAGUGCAUUUGGUAAUGGGUUAUAAAUACUUUUAUUGUUGGAAUAAUCACGUUUGAUUAUUUUCUUAAGAAUAAUAAAGAAUAGUAGAGAAAAAAAAAGGGUUAAUUUCAUAUAUAUAUNNNNNNNNNAUAUAGGUCCCUACAAAUAUAGUGAAUAGCAAAUAUAUUGCUACAAAGUUCAACUUUUAUAUAUUAUUCUUACAAAAGUUUCAAUAUUUUCAAAUAUGUUCCUCUGGUUUGUUAUACCGUUAGAGAACCGUUAGAGAAUUGUUUAUAUUUUUAAUUUUACAAUCACAAAUAUAUCCCUCCAAAAGCCAUAAUAGUAUAAUAUAAAAGGAUAAAAAGGUCAAAAAACUAAACAUGGUUAAGUAUUUAACCUAUGAUUAACUAAAUUUUUCUAAUAAAUUCUAACGGCAGGAAUAUAUUUGAAAAUAUUAGAACUUUUGCAAUGACAGCAUAUGAAAGAUGAACUUUAUAGGAAUAUGUUUAUCAUUCACUAUAUUAAUUUGCAGUGACUUGUAUGAAAUUAACUAAAAAAAAAAGUAUAACUAGAUCGACAAGGCGAAGGGGUGGGGGGAAAUGUUAUUAACACUUUGACCAGAAUAAAUUGUUCCUUUCAAAUUUAGGCUUACUUAACGCUAUUAGAUAAAAGGGAGUUAGGGUUAAAUCAUAUAGGGAUAUACUUCUGCAUUUUCCGGUGGAACCGUACAAAAUAUAUUACAACCGAUUCAUCGCGAUAUGCGGAAUACAAUAUUACGUACGGAAACAAACGAAGCAUUUUCUUGUCGUGCAAUCGAUCCGCAAGUAACGCAAUCUCUCCGUAAUUCCAAACGAAGCUAUAGCUGUAUAUGAAAUAAAAUGCUUUAUCUCUUGGUUAUUGUGUUACGAAACGCACUCCCUGUAUACCUCGAUACUAUCCAGCAGGUAGAACCCCUGGGCCCGACCGACGAGCAUGGACGUCGGGGCGGGGCCGUCGGUCAGGGGGUCGUCGAUCACGUAGAGGUCGCCGAAGUUGGAGUCCGCCAGGGCGGCGGGGCCCUCGACCACCCGCACAGUGGUCACGUUCGGCCCGCCGAGGGUGGCGUGCAUGUAGAAAUGCAGGCGGGUCAUGUCGGCAUCGGCGGCGACGGCGGCGGUUGAAGCUAAUGCCGUUACAACGGCCGUUACGGCGAGGAGGAAAAAGAUAGAGCGGUGGAAAGAAGCCAUAGAGAUCUAGAGAGAGAGAGAGAGAAAAAACCGUUAGAGAGAUCUAGAGAGAGAGGGGGGGUGAGUGCCCAGGGUAUGCCACCGGUGCUUUAAUAGUCGUGCGAGGUCACCGCUGUGUUUUUUCUUAGGUAAACUUUAAAUACCGUCGCACUUUUUCUAUUUAAUACUUUAUAAUUUAAAAUAUAUCAAGUUAGUGUUCUAUACUUUUAUUUUUAUUUUUUCGUUAGCUUUUCCGUUAAUAUUUCGUUAAAUUAUAUACAAAAAACUCCAGAUAUCCCAUCUACAUUUAUCGAAUAUUCACUUUAAUACUCUUUAGUUUUAAAUCGGUCACUGAUUUAACAAAAAAAAUUAAUGCAAUCGAUAAUAAAAAGAUAAAAACAAAACCACAGAACACUAAAUAGAUACACUUUAAACCACAUAGUACUAAAGUGAGAAAAUAUAAAACUACAAGGGUGGUAUUUGAAGUUUUCCCUUUGUUUUCCUUAAGGUGGUCAAUGGCUGUGUUUUCAAGGGGAAACUGCAUGCCAUUGCCAUUAAUUUAGGCAACGAUUGGAUAAGGAUUAAACAUUUAACAAUGAUGGAUACUGCAAUAUACACGUCAUUACAGCCUAAUUAUUUUUAUAUUUUUAAUUGAAUUUUAUUUUUUUAAAGGUUAAUUUCAUACAGAUCCCUAUAAAUAUAGUAAAUUACAAAUAUAUGUUCUUACAAAGUUUAACUUUCAUAUGUUGUUCCUUAAAAAAUCCUGAUGUUUUCAAAUAUAUCUCUGCCGUUAGAAUCUGAUAGAAAAUUUUAAUUAAUCAUAGGUUAAAUACUUAACCUUGAUUAGUUUUGAUAUUUUUACUUUUUUAUAUUAUAUUGUUACGUCUUUUGGAGAGAUAUAUUUGUGAUAGCAAAAUUGAAACAGAGAUAUAUAUUUGAAAAUAUGAGGACUUUUGCAAGAAUAAUAUAUAAAAGUUGAAUUUUAUAAAAGUAUAUUUGUCAUUCACUAUGUUUGCAGAAACCGGUACGAAAAUAACUUUUUUAAAAAAAAUAGUGGCGAUUGCUAUGGGUAGCCUAAAAUGUACCCAAACGUGCACCCUAAACUCCCCAAAUUGUGUUCAAGCCUUGUGAGCAAUUAGCAAGUGGAGCAAUCAAGGGUAUAGAGCAAGAUUUUUUUUUUUUUUUGGGGGAUAAAUUUCAAAUUGUCCAUUUAAAUUUUGCCAUAUAAUUGUUUAAGAUUACAAAGUGAAAUUAAGUUAAACCAAAUGAGACAAUUUGAAGUUCACCUUUUUUUCUUUUCUUUUUUUUUUUGCAUGUGUUUUUACCAAAGUCAACUUUUUCAAUGAUGUGUUUAAUUGUUGUCCGGUCAAUUUUGUUUAAUUUGGUCAAAUCCCAAAUUUUAGAAUAACUCAAUUCCGCGUGCAUUUGACUUGGCAAUGUAAGUUUAAAAUAUUCAAAAAUAUUAAAAAAAUAACUUUACUUUCUAAAAUUCGUAUUAAAAUAUACUUAAUAAAAAUAAAGAUAAAACUAAUACAUGACAGAGCGUUGGGAAGUUCUCUAUUGAAAUUUUAUUUGGGAAUAUUCCAGCUUAUUCUCCAAACCCCCGUGAAAUGAUAAGAACAUUUUUUUUUUUUCCCUCUUCCCUUAUUUUAAAUGAAUUCCUUUAGAUACAGCACAAAUUUGUUCCACCACCUCCUAUAAAACUAUUUUGUUACAGGUUUUAUUCUGGGGAGAAAUUUAAGACUUUUUAAAUAAUUAACACUACAAAAUCCAUAACUUAUUAUAAUACACAUAAAAAAUAUAUAAGGAAGAAACAUACAAGGCAGAACUUAACUGAACUAUGGCCUAUUUGAUUAAUUUGGCUAUCCAAUAUUUUGAAAUCUUAAUUUUACGGUUAGUCUUUAAAUUUCUUUGAUUUGAAUCAGUCAACAGCAACAGCAUCUCUUCAAAAUUUAAGCCAAUUACUUAGUUUAAUUUUAAAUGAUGAAUUCUAAUUUCAAAGUCAAAGUCGGUUGACUGAUACAAACCGAACAAAUUGAAAGGUUGAUAGUAAAAUUAAAAUUUUAAAAUGUUGGAUAUCCAAAUUAAAAUUAUCUAUAGUUUAAAUAAAUUUCAUAUGUUUUUUAUUAAGAUAUAAUUAUAUUAUGAAUUGAGCUGCUAUACUAUAAAUAGUAAAGAAAUAGUGUUUAUUUUAGGAGCAAUUGUUUAUAUACCUCUGAAAAAUUUCUGACUUUUCGAUUUACCAUCUUAGAAGGCUAAUAUUGAAUAUACCCUUUCUACGUUCCAAUCUAUUUCUAAUAUACCCCUAGAGUUAAAAUUUGUUAAUUAACUCUGUUAUCCCUAUAAAAUUACAAUGUUGCCCUUUCAAAUAUACUCUUUCACCAUCACCAACUUUCUUAUUUGCCCUUAAAGUCAGGAACACAAAAAGUAUUUUGAUUUUUGGUAUUUUUCAAUAUACCUCUCUACCGUCACCAACAUUUCUUAUUUGCCCUUAAGUUAAGGGCAAAAUUGGUAUUUUAAUUUUUUUUAACUGUAGUAGAUAUUUGACUCACAUUUAACCCAAGUUAACUUAAUAGGAGAUAACUGCGAAAAUAUUUUGCAAUAACGGUAAAACAUAUGAUGGGUAUUUUAGAAAGAAAAAAAAAGUAUGGAUAAAUCAGAUAUUUUUAAACGUAUGAGGGGUAUAUAGACAAUUAUCCCUUUAUUUUACUAUGUAACAUUAUGAAUUGAGCUACGUAAAGAAGUUAUCCGAACUGUACUACCUAACUUUCAAAUUUUUGAUCUAACUAUCGAAUCUUUUAAUUUAUUUGAUUUGAGUCAGUUAAUGACAUUUUGAUUUCAGAAUCUGAAUGCAUCAUUAAUUUAUCUUUAUAAAUUUAGUUAGUAUAUUUUAUACAAUUUUCGUAAGUAUAAAUUUAUUAAAGUAAAGAGCAGUUUGGUUCAAAGUUAGUAACACUUACAAAAUAUUGUACAUUUUAUAUUAGGAAUGGUAAGUAUACUACUAACUUAUCAAUCCGCUUCGGUGAGAGAUUCUUAAGACGUAGUAUAAAAGAGUUAGUGUUUUCGACUUUUUAGCUCUUGGAUUAACUCCCUUGAUCACUUGUAAUUUUUGGAUUAAUAUUAUUACCCUGUAGGGACCACUCAACCCUAGAGGAGACAAGUAUCAUUCCAGCCGUACAAUUUUUGAUUUAAGGGUCAGAAAAUCGGAAACAUGAACUCCAUAAUAUUUCGGAAAGUAUAGUAACUCUACACCUACUAAUAAUUCACAUAAUAAAAAUAUCUCCUAACUUAUGAUAAUUUAAUAUUUUAAAAUCUACAAUGAUUCCACUCCUUCACUACCGCCAUUGCCCACGGGUUAUCAUGCAACACUCUUUGGUUCACGGAUGACGUGGUGAACCGGGUAUAAUUAAUAACUUCUACGUGAAAAAUUGGUGGGGAUCUUCAUUUACUUUCGUCAACCGUUUCUGUGGUUUUAAAAUUCAUACUAUUUACGUAAUGAACGAUGGAUAAGAUGGUCUCACGCUCGCUUCUGACCCUGCAAAGAACUUCGAUCCCCGAACGAGCGGCCUCGCUCAAUUUCUUCGUCAAAUCCCCAUUAAUUUCAUAUCUCGUAACUUAUGAUAAUUUAGUAUUUUUACGACUUAGUAAUCUAUAAUAAUUUCGCUGCUUCAUUAACGGGAUUUGCCCAUGUUAUCAUACCUCAUUCUUUGGUUCACGGAUGACGUGGUAAACCCGGUAUAAUUAAUAAUUUCUACGCGAAAAGUUGGUGGGGAUCUUCAUCUCCGUGAGACUUUUCGUCCACCGUUGUUGUGGCUUUAUGAUUCGUGCAAGUUACGUGAUGAACGGUGGAUAAGAUGGUCUCACGCUCCACUCCGACCCCGCAAGGUAAUGGGACCCCGUGCUCGAACUUCGAUCCCCAAACGAGGGGUUUCGCUCAAUUCCCCCUCCCCCCACCCCCCCNCCCCCCCCCCGGCCCCCCCCGCGCUCAAUUUCUCCACCAAAUCCCCGUUAAUUUCUCCUACAAUUACAUGUAAAAUCCCCCAAAUCGACCAUUCGCAGGUGAUUAAUCCGUAUUUUUCAUGUAAUUUCGUUAGCUCUCGCAUCCCUUCUCCAUUUUCCCAUCGAUUUCGCCUACAAUUCCAUGUAAAAAUCCCCAAAAUCCACCGUUUUUUUGGUGAUUAAUUCUCAUUUUGAUGUAAUUAUUGUUCUUUUUUGGUGCCGCAGUGUGAAAAAACCUAAUAUUUCUGUAGAUGUUGUUAGAUCCUUGUAAAUCCCCAUCCGAGCAUGCUAAAAUUUUAGUUUUUUACUUGUUUUCUACUUAUUUUAAUCUUUUUUUUUGUUUUGAUGCAGAUAAUAAUCUGGGUCAGAUCCUUGUAAAUCUCGAUCUGGGUAUGCUUAAAUUUUGCUCUUUAUUUUUAAAAUAUUUUUUAGGAGGAAUUAAAGUGUAAAUGUUCUCAAAAUCUCAUCAUGGUUUACCUUCUAGUGUAAUAAUUGUUGCAUUAUUGUUUUAACUUGCAUUAUCUAUCACUUAUCUGAUUAUCGAAAUUGCUAAUUUCAGAGUUUAUCCGGGGAUGUGUGAUAAGUUCAUCAAUUAACUGUUGAUAUAGAUGAAGAGAUUUGAUAAUUUUGUUGUGUGGCCAUGUGUUGAUCUCUAAAAAAAGUGUGAAUCAAUGCCAUGAGCACCCCCAAAUCCUUCCAUGCUUACCCUAGAUUUGACUUCGACCUAGAGUCCGGAUUGCCCCGGAAGGCCCGGAAAUCGAGCUCCCUUAAAAUGCUCAAGUCCUUCGGAAACCGAUUCCACCAUUUUUACAAGAUGCACCCGCUUUUAGUUUCGCUAAUCUCAUUGUCCUUGGGGCUCACCAUUCUAAUCGGGCUCUCAUUAUACGAAAGCCGGUUUAAAACGAUGGGUUACCGAAGGGGCGACGAGGUGGAUUUGCGUUCUGGUUCUUAUCCUUUUAAGAAUUUGCGUAAUCUUGUGAUGGUGGCGGGGCACGCGAUCUAUACGAGCAACAGUUGUGGGAAGAUGGAAAGCGAGGAUUCGUGGUUCUUGGAGCCGUAUCAAAAGCACACGGGCCAAGCCGCGACUUUUGUCUCACAUAUUAGAGAUGGCGUGGAGAUCGCGGCUAAGGAUGAGGGUGCUCUCUUAUUGUUUAGCGGCGGGGAAACCCGAAAGGAUGCGGGGCCUAGAAGUGAGGCACAAAGUUAUUGGGCCGUUGCGGAAUCAAAAAGCUGGUUCGGUAAGCUACUCUCUAAGAAGAAGUAAUCUUAUUGUGCAUUACUUAUUUAAAUGCAGAAAAAAAAAACGCUGUAGGGCAAUUAUCCACUGCCGAAUCAUUAAACCUUUAUACCAAUUUACUUCUAAUAGAUGCAAUGAUAUUUUGUUUUUGGCAGUACACUUAAUGUAAUAGAUGCAUAAUUUCCCUAUUUUCGCUUGUGCUGGACGCAUAACUUCUCGAUCAAACGUAAUUCCAAGUUUUGAAAAGGUAUCGGAUCAUUAAAUGUAAUUUUGGACACAUAACUUGGCUUCUUACAACGAUGUCCUAGAAUAUUGCUCGGAAAUUCCAACUUUAAAAGCAAUACCAACUUUUAGAUAUAUUUUUUUUAAGACAUAAAAUGAUGGCUUUUCAUAAAUAUCUGAAUUCUUUAUCUGUGUGUGGGUGUGUGUAAGUACAGGCACAACUGCUUUAUGCUUGUCAAAUUCGAGAAACUAUUAAGUGUGACCACUUAUCUCAAAUUGCUUCCGACAAACUUUAUGCAGCACAAUUCUUUGGCAUUUAUUUCUCCUAUCAAAGUACAUUAAGAUCAUCUGUUGUAGUAGGGGGAAAAAAUUUCAACAAAUUGGCAUUUCGUGUAGUUCAUAACUUAGGAAAGGCCAAAAAUUUCUGUUGUCCAGAUUUUAGUCAGAUAAACUUGGAGAAUAAUCAAGUCUCAAAUUAUGUGCAUAAAAUUGUUUGUCUAUUGUUUGUCAAUAUUUGUGCUGAGCUGUUGCAGUCGUUUGUCUCUAACCAGGCAACGAAGAUAGUGUAAAGAGCAGAGCACUCACAGAGGAGCACGCCAGAGAUAGCUUCGAGAACCUUCUUUUUAGUGUUUGCCGGUUUCGAGAACUCACUGGCUCGUACCCGCAGAAUAUAACCGUAAGUUUCCUUUUCUUUUCCUCUCAUAUUUCUUUUAAAAGCAAAAUGUUCAAAUGAUGCUGUUUUUCAUUAUAAUAUGCUGCACGAGAUUGAAUCCAUCAUUGUCAACUAUCGUAGAGCAAAAAGGUUUUGAGUUGAGAGUGAGAUUUAUUUGUUAGCAUCAUAUCAAAUGGUCUAAGAUUUGUUGAAACAAUAAAUUUCAUGAACCUUAUUAUUUCAAAUUGAUAACAAUUAGUUAUUUUUAUCGUAUAAUUGAAUCUAAUGGUAUCUAACCAGUUCCUUUUCUUGGUUGACUGCAUGUGGGCUUUGGAAAUAAGAAAAGCACUUAAGAACAUAACAGCAACAUUCUCUAUUUGUUUUAUUGAAAAAUUUAGAUCAACUUUCAAAUUUGGUUGAUUAAACAAUUCUUAGAGUUAUCACUAGUGAAUGAAUUUUGACAAGGAACAUAUUGUAAGUAUGAAUUAAUAGCAUGAUUUUUUGAGCAAUUCAAAAAUGUUAUGCUUUUAAUUUUCCAAGGACUUAGUUAUCCGCUAUUUAACUUUUUUACUUUGAAACUUGAACCCUGCUGAAUUUAGAAGCUUGCAGUUUUUUUUUCCCCUUGAAUCUUCCCAGUUUUUGCUAAAUACCGAACAUUUCAACCCUGCUGAAUCUUUCCGACUAUGUCAUCACUGAACAUGGUCGAUUCAAUCUUUUAUUUCUCAGGUCGUAAGCUAUGAUUUCAAGGAGGAGAGGUUCGCCCAUCUACACCGUUCCGCCCUCAAUUUGCCGCAAUCAAGGUUCUUCUUCGUCGGCACACCAGCCACUCCGACCGCAAAAGAGGCAGCAAUGAAAGGCGAAGCCUCAGUUAGGGCGCAAUUUCUCGAAGACCCUUAUGGGUGCUUGGGCUCUCUCCACCAAAAGAGGCUUAAGAGAGACCCAUUUCAUCGCACCGUGCCUUACCCUAAUGGGUGCCCCGAGCUCAAAGGCUUGUUCAGCUAUUGCGGGCCGGUCCCUUACCCCGGCUCGCUCCCGUGGACCCAGUAAGAUUCAAACUAGUGUUUGAGCUCAGCUUGUUUGUUUCCACUUCUUAGGUUCAGUACAAAUGGAGGAGCAGGUUAUAUAGCAUGAAAAAUCUUUUGCGAAGUUUGUACAAUACAAUAUUAUGCUUUGGAAUUGAUACAACGAUUUUGCGAUGAUUUAGUGCAUUUAUAGGAAAGAUACUUCACUGUACAACAUCGGCGGAACCUAUGGUUCCUUCGAAAAGUUAGGAGAGAAUGCGUUUACUCUAAUGCGACGGCCGAAGAGAUCAUCUUUGUGUACUGUAACUUUUCGAACUAGUUUAAAUGGUGAUUAUGGCCACUCAAAUAUUUCUCUUUUGCUCCUUUUGUCUCCUCUUUCUUUUUGACUACAUGUGAAGGUGCAAAGUGAUUUUUAUUUGUUGAUUUUAUCCUGUUCCUGUUCAUUUGUUAUGGUAUGAUUCAUUUAUGGAGAUUUAUGGUUUCUUCUGGUUCUUGUAUUGCGAUUUACAGAGAACUCCACAAAAUUUUCGCUAAAUACACUGCAUUUUUUUUUCCUGUUAAAAAUUUUGGUUUCUUAAGUUGAUUGUGAUAUGAGCAAAACUUCACAAUUGUUUAAAUGAAUUUGAAUAAAUCCCUGAAAUUGGCCUACAAUGCUAUGCAGAAUUAGACGGUUUUUCAGUGGUCAAAUUGUUCUUAGCAGCAAAUCAAAUUAGAGCUUCUACAAAAAUGUUGUUUAAAUAGAACUGUUUAGAUAAAGCACCAUUAUCUUUCUAACCGUUUUUCUAAAAAGCUACUUUCCGCGGUAGAAGAUGAAGAUCGAACUGCAGAAACUUUUUUCCUUCGGUGUUAUUUUUCGUUUAAGCCGAACAUGGACAUCUAAUAUUCUAAAUUCUAAUAUUUAAUUCAUGUUAUCCCUUCCAUCAGUUUUCGGUUAACGGAGCUUGACAGAAAACUGAUGGAGCGGUAACAUGAAUGAAAUAUUAGAGUUUAGGAUAUUACAUGUUUAUUUUAGAAGUUUGAAAAGUAAAGUGAAACUCUGCCGAAAGUUAAGAAGGUAAGAGUGCAAUUUACCCAGCAUUAUUUGGUACUUGACGAAGAUCCAUGUAUAGUAUUAGAUUUGAUUCUAUGGACCAUUUCAAAUUGAAGCUCUCAAAAUGUUUUGAGCAAAAACCCAAUUAAUUCAAUUGUUUUAGACUAAUAUACAGUUUUACAAAAACCAUGAAUUUAUGAAGUCCGGCUACUGUACUCUUAUGAGUAUAGACCCUUUUGUAUUCAUAAGUUUUCAACCGUUAGAUCUACUCCUUUGAUCAUUUUCACUCGUUAGAUCAUAUAUACUAUUCAACCAAUCACCCACUGAAUACUAGAGAACUACUAUAAUUCUAACCGGGGACCAUUAUCAUCUUAACUGUACAUCUUUCCAUCCAACAGUCAAAAAUUUAUGAGUACAAAAAAGUCUAUAUUCAUAAGAUUAUAAUAGCCCUACUCGAAUUUAUGUAUGAUUCGCUACUUCAAAUGCUUAAACAUUGAUUUUU
Molecule: long non-coding RNA, 17813 nt
Filed under: Ananas comosus (pineapple)
Lineage: Eukaryota; Viridiplantae; Streptophyta; Magnoliopsida; Poales; Bromeliaceae
Description: long non-coding RNA (ACOM_LNC028838)
Source: RNAcentral